CAUUUUUAACCCGCAAAAUCACGCGAUCGGAAAGUAUAAAAGCAGAUGUGCUGAAGGCAUUCAACAUCAGUGCUGAAAGCAAAACGAUACCAAGCAACAAUUCGAACGAAAAUGGAUGCCGAUAAACAAGCAAAGAACCGCACAGACCAGUGCAACCCGGACCAUAAACCGACUGGGCCAGGUCACGAUGCCGCUUACAAAGGCGAUGGUUCCCAAAAAGAUCGCGACAAUCAUGGAAAUCAGUUGAAUCCCAACAACAAAGAAUUCAAGGGCAAAAAAUAAAAUGUGACCAAAUGUAAAACACUGAAAAUGCACUCAAGUGUUACUUUCAUCAGAAUUUUGUUUCUUGAAUAAAAUUCAGCAAAAUCAAUAGAAAUUUUGUGUGUGUGUCUUUCCUUCGUGUAAAUUGAAAUUCAUUUUUAAAAUUAUAGUCAAUUUUCAGUUAAUUUGUGAUAAAUCAGCUGAUUGUUCUGGAAAAUCAAGGUAAUGCAUUGUGUGACUGAUUCACUUGAGUGAUCAACU
Sitodiplosis mosellana (orange wheat blossom midge) is the source of this 522-nucleotide long non-coding RNA. RefSeq lists it as uncharacterized. The record is from RefSeq and is a predicted model, not a curated record. Lineage: Eukaryota; Metazoa; Arthropoda; Insecta; Diptera; Cecidomyiidae. The transcript is spliced from 2 exons.